RNAcentral lists this transfer RNA (76 nucleotides) under Cordylochernes scorpioides. RNAcentral's name for it is "tRNA-Lys". The record is from RNAcentral. Lineage: Eukaryota; Metazoa; Arthropoda; Arachnida; Pseudoscorpiones; Chernetidae.
UGCCCAGACAGGGGCUCGAACCCUAAACCAUUAGGUUAAAAGGCUACCGCUCUACUGACUGAGCUAUCCUGAUGGU